RNAcentral lists this transfer RNA (85 nucleotides) under Bacteriophage sp. Its description in RNAcentral is "tRNA-Leu". The record is from RNAcentral.
GCUACCGUGUUGCAAUUGGCGAGACACAGUUGCCUUAAAAGCAACCGUCCGAGAGGAAUUGAGGGAUCAUACCCCUCCGGUAGCA